UAGGGAAUCUUCCGCAAUGGACGAAAGUCUGACGGAGCAACGCCGCGUGUGUGAAGAAGGUCUUCGGAUCGUAAAGCACUGUUAUUAGAGAAGAACAACCGGUAGAGUAACUGUUACCGGCUUGACGGUAUCUAACCAGAAAGCCACGGCUAACUACGUGCCAGCAGCCGCGGUAAUACGUAGGUGGCAAGCGUUGUCCGGAUUUAUUGGGCGUAAAGGGAGCGCAGGUGGUGAUUUAAGUCUGAUGUGAAAGCCCACGGCUCAACCGUGGAAGGUCAUUGGAAACUGGAUCACUUGAGUGCAGAAGAGGAAAGUGGAAUUCCAUGUGUAGCGGUGAAAUGCGUAGAUAUAUGGAGGAACACCAGUGGCGAAGGCGACUUUCUGGUCUGUAACUGACACUGAGGCUCGAAAGCGUGGGGAGCAAACAGG
Molecule: ribosomal RNA, 429 nt
Filed under: uncultured bacterium
Lineage: Bacteria
Description: bacterial SSU rRNA
Rfam family: Bacterial small subunit ribosomal RNA
Source: RNAcentral